This is a long non-coding RNA of Alligator sinensis (Chinese alligator), 95 nucleotides long. RefSeq lists it as uncharacterized. Lineage: Eukaryota; Metazoa; Chordata; Crocodylia; Alligatoridae. The record is from RefSeq and is a predicted model, not a curated record. The transcript has 3 exons.
GAGUGCCACUGCUAUGGCAAUCUUAGUGCAAGGUUGCAUCAGCCAGCAUUGAUCAAAGGUCAUACAGAGGUCACAUUAAUUUUCUAACAAUAUUU